This 805-nucleotide ribosomal RNA is filed under the name uncultured Thermoplasmata archaeon. Its description in RNAcentral is "bacterial SSU rRNA". It matches the Rfam family "Archaeal small subunit ribosomal RNA", at positions 500 to 1307 of the family's 1478-position model. The record is from RNAcentral. Lineage: Archaea; Methanobacteriati; Thermoplasmatota; Thermoplasmata.
AUUAUUGGGCCUAAAACGUCCGUAGCCGGCUGAGUAAAUGCUUGGGUAAAUCGUGCCGCUUAACGGUACGAAUUCCGGGUACACUGCUUGGCUUGAGAUCGGGAGAAGCUAGAGGUACUCCUGGGGUAGAGGUGAAAUUCUGUAAUCCUGGGGGGACCACCAGUGGCGAAGGCGUCUAGCUAGAACGAGUCUGACGGUGAGGGACGAAACCCUGGGGCGCAAACCGGAUUAGAUACCCGGGUAGUCCAGGGCGCAAACGCUGCUUGCUUGAUGUUAGCUGGGCUCCGAGCUCAGCUAGUGUCGGAGAGAAGUUGUUAAGCAAGCUGCCUGGGAAGUACGAUCGCAAGAUUGAAACUUAAAGGAAUUGGCGGGGGAGCACAGCAACGGGUGGAGCGUGCGGUUUAAUUGGAUUCAACGCCGGAAAACUCACCGGAGGCGACGGUUACAUGAAGGCCAGGCUGAUGACCUUGCCUGAUUUUCCGAGAGGUGGUGCAUGGCCGCCGUCAGUUCGUACCGUAAGGCGUUCUGUUAAGUCAGAUAACGAACGAGACCCUCAUCCUUAAUUGCUACUAAUAACUCCGGUUGUUAGGCACAUUAAGGAGACCGCUGACGAUAAGUCAGAGGAAGGCGAGGGCAACGGUAGGUCAGUAUGCCCUGAAUCCUCCGGGCUACACGCGCGCUACAAAGGUCAGGACAAUGGGCUUCGACACCGAGAGGUGAAGGUAAUCCCGAAACCUGAUCAUAGUUCGGAUUGAGGGUUGAAACUCACCCUCAUGAAGCUGGAAUCCGUAGUAAUCGCGGAUCA